Molecule: ribosomal RNA, 406 nt
Filed under: uncultured bacterium
Lineage: Bacteria
Description: partial 16S ribosomal RNA
Rfam family: Bacterial small subunit ribosomal RNA
Source: RNAcentral
AUUGAACGCUGGCGGCAGGCCUAACACAUGCAAGUCGAACGAGUGGCGGACGGGUGAGUAAUGUCUGGGAAACUGCCUGACGGAGGGGGAUAACUACUGGAAACGGUAGCUAAUACCGCAUACCAUCGGAUGUGCCCAGAUGGGAUUAGCUAGUAGGUGGGGUAACGGCUCACCUAGGCGACGAUACCUAGCUGGUCUGAGUGGAUGACCAACCACACUGGAACGGAGCCACGUUACGGACGCCUACGGGAGGCAGAAGUGGUGAAGAUUGCACAAUGGGCGCAAGACUGAUGCAGCCAUGCAGCGUGUAUGAAGAAGGCCUGCGGGUUGUAAAGUACUUUCAGCGGGGAGGCGUUACCCGCAGAAGAAGCACCGGCUGACGCCGUGCCAGCAGCCGCGGUAAUAC